GAUAGGAAGUAUCCUUAUUGAAAUUGCAAAGAGUAUUUACACCAUGAGUAACAUACACAUUUUUAUAAGUCUCUUAAGAAGCAAUUUUGUCAACAAGAAACUUGAACAAUUUAGUUUCGUUGUCAUCUUCACAGAGAAAACUGCUCCAAACCCUUGGUGUUCUACCAGAACCAACACCUUUCCAUCUGGCACAAAAACCUGGCCUUUG
This 208-nucleotide long non-coding RNA is filed under the name Mytilus galloprovincialis (Mediterranean mussel). The record is from RNAcentral. Lineage: Eukaryota; Metazoa; Mollusca; Bivalvia; Mytilida; Mytilidae.